AGGACGAACGCUGGCGGCGUGCUUAACACAUGCAAGUCGAGCGGAAAGGCCCUUCGGGGUACUCGAGCGGCGAACGGGUGAGUAACACGUGAGCAACCUGCCCUUAGCUCCGGGAUAGCUCCGGGAAACCGGAAUUAAUACCGGAUACAACCACGGCCGACAUCUGCUGUGGUGGAAGGGAUUCCGGCUAAGGAUGGGCUCGCGGCCUAUCAGCUAGUUGGUGGAGUAACGGCCCACCAAGGCGACGACGGGUAGCCGGCCUGAGAGGGCGACCGGCCACACUGGGACUGAGACACGGCCCAGACUCCUACGGGAGGCAGCAGUGGGGAAUAUUGCGCAAUGGGCGAAAGCCUGACGCAGCGACGCCGCGUGGGGGAUGAAGGCCUUCGGGUUGUAAACCCCUUUCAGCAGGGACGAAGCGAAAGUGACGGUACCUGCAGAAGAAGCGCCGGCUAACUACGCGCCAGCAGCCGC
RNAcentral lists this ribosomal RNA (474 nucleotides) under uncultured bacterium. RNAcentral's name for it is "SSU rRNA". It matches the Rfam family "Bacterial small subunit ribosomal RNA", at positions 26 to 518 of the family's 1533-position model. The record is from RNAcentral.